RNAcentral lists this ribosomal RNA (440 nucleotides) under uncultured bacterium. RNAcentral's name for it is "bacterial SSU rRNA". It matches the Rfam family "Bacterial small subunit ribosomal RNA", at positions 958 to 1397 of the family's 1533-position model. The record is from RNAcentral.
AACGCGAAGAACCUUACCUGGUCUUGACAUCCUGGGAACCCUGAAGAGAUUUAGGGGUGCCGCAAGGAGCCCAGAGACAGGUGCUGCAUGGCUGUCGUCAGCUCGUGUCGUGAGAUGUUGGGUUAAGUCCCGCAACGAGCGCAACCCUUAUCCCUAGUUGCCAUCGGGUCAAGCCGGGCACUCUAGUGAAACCGCGCGGGAUAACCGCGAGGAAGGUGGGGAUGACGUCAAGUCCUCAUGGCCUUUAUGUCCAGGGCUACACACGUGCUACAAUGGUCGGUACAAACCGUCGCAAACCCGCGAGGGGGAGCUAAUCGGAAAAAGCCGGCCUCAGUUCGGAUUGGAGUCUGCAACCCGACUCCAUGAAGCUGGAAUCGCUAGUAAUCGCGGAUCAGAACGCCGCGGUGAAUACGUUCCCGGGCCUUGUACACACCGGCUAC